UGAGGAAUAUUGGUCAAUGGGCGCGAGCCUGAACCAGCCAAGUAGCGUGAAGGAUGAAGGUCCUACGGAUUGUAAACUUCUUUUAUAAGGGAAUAAAGUCACCCACGUGUGGGUGUUUGUAUGUACCUUAUGAAUAAGCAUCGGCUAACUCCGUGCCAGCAGCCGCGGUAAUACGGAGGAUGCGAGCGUUAUCCGGAUUUAUUGGGUUUAAAGGGAGCGUAGACGGGUCGUUAAGUCAGCUGUGAAAGUUUGAGGCUCAACCUUAAAAUUGCAGUUGAUACUGGCGUCCUUGAGUACGGUUGAGGCAGGCGGAAUUCGUGGUGUAGCGGUGAAAUGCUUAGAUAUCACGAAGAACCCCGAUUGCGAAGGCAGCCUGCUAAACCGCCACUGACGUUGAGGCUCGAAAGUGUGGGUAUCAAACAGGAUUAGAUACCCUGGUAGUCCACACGGUAAACGAUGGAUACUCGCUGUUGGCGAUAGACUGUCAGCGGCUUAGCGAAAGCGUUAAGUAUCCCACCUGGGGAGUACGCCGGCAACGGUGAAACUCAAAGGAAUUGACGGGGGCCCGCACAAGCGGAGGAACAUGUGGUUUAAUUCGAUGAUACGCGAGGAACCUUACCCGGGCUUAAAUUGCAUUUGAAUAAUCUGGAAACAGGUUAGCCGCAAGGCAAAUGUGAAGGUGCUGCAUGGUUGUCGUCAGCUCGUGCCGUGAGGUGUCGGCUUAAGUGCCAUAACGAGCGCAACCCUUAUCUUUAGUUACUAACAGGUCAUGCUGAGGACUCUAGAGAGACUGCCGUCGUAAGAUGUGAGGAAGGUGGGGAUGACGUCAAAUCAGCACGGCCCUUACGUCCGGGGCUACACACGUGUUACAAUGGGGGGUACAGAAGGCAGCUACCUGGCGACAGGAUGCUAAUCCCAAAAACCUCUCUCAGUUCGGAUCGAAGUCUGCAACCCGACUUCGUGAAGCUGGAUUCGCUAGUAAUCGCGCAUCAGCCAUGGCGCGGUGAAUACGUUCCC
RNAcentral lists this ribosomal RNA (1017 nucleotides) under uncultured bacterium. RNAcentral describes it as "bacterial SSU rRNA". It matches the Rfam family "Bacterial small subunit ribosomal RNA", at positions 355 to 1375 of the family's 1533-position model. The record is from RNAcentral.